This is a non-coding RNA of Trichosporon asahii var. asahii CBS 2479, 81 nucleotides long. NCBI's taxonomy places the organism in Eukaryota, Fungi, Basidiomycota, Tremellomycetes, Trichosporonales, Trichosporonaceae. The record is from the annotation of a RefSeq genome assembly.
GCCUGCUUCGUCUAGUGGUUAGGAUUUUCCUUUCGUAGUCUUACAAGGGAACGGUCACCCGUUCGAUUCGGGUAGUAGGCA